This 45-nucleotide non-coding RNA is filed under the name Schistosoma margrebowiei. The record is from RNAcentral. Lineage: Eukaryota; Metazoa; Platyhelminthes; Trematoda; Strigeidida; Schistosomatidae.
AUCCAGCUGACGAGUCCCAAAUAGAACGAAACGCAUGUCCUGAAU